GGGGAUCUAGCUCAAAUGGUAGAGCGCUCGCUUAGCAUGCGAGAGGCACUGGAUCAAUGCCAGGUUCUCCA
Molecule: transfer RNA, 71 nt
Filed under: Rhizoclosmatium globosum
Lineage: Eukaryota; Fungi; Chytridiomycota; Chytridiomycetes; Chytridiales; Chytriomycetaceae
Rfam family: tRNA
About the family: Transfer RNA (tRNA) molecules are approximately 80 nucleotides in length. Their secondary structure includes four short double-helical elements and three loops (D, anti-codon, and T loops).
Source: Rfam by way of RNAcentral